GAGUUUUGGGUUAUAUUUAUAAUAACUAAUAUUUAUUCAGUUUAGAGUUUUGACGAAGAUCAAAAUUGUAUAUUUUAUUUAUUAAUACUUGGAAUUGUUCGCUUUUUAAAAAGUUGCAUUAUUUUUACCAUUAUAUUUUUGGAACAUAGGUUGUAGCCGUAGAUACUACCUAAACUAUUUUUGUCUAUUUAGCAAAAAAAGUGUCACGUCAAUGUCAAUCAAAAAUAUGUCAAAACAUAGGAUUGAACGUAAAGUAUAAACGAUUAAGUUGUAAACACCUCGAUGCCAUUAAAUAUCGUAAAUUUAUAAAAGAAAUUUGUAAUUGUUUUUGUAAAAGCUAUCUAUGAUAAUGUUAUGUUUAUAGUUUUUAAUGUGUAAUAUAUAAGACAUUUUGUUAAUAUAUCCAAUGGUAGUUGUCUAGUAAAGAUAAUUUUUAAAUUAAGUAUUUGACUUCAACAUCAUGUCUGACGAUUUCAUACCUUUAAAUCAAAGUACACCAGUUCAAGGAAGAUGGCAACAGAAAGGUCAUUCACAACAAAACAGUUAUCAAAACAAUUGGCAGCAGAAAAAUAACAGACGUAGACAGGGUCGACAUCAAAAAGGAUGGUCAAAUAACUCUCAUCAAAGUAACAGUUUUGGAAGUGAUUCCAACAACAGCUAUAAUAGAGACAGUCAAGGCAUUGACGCGUACUUGCAUCCUUCAAUGCUUCAAGAUCCAUGGGCACAUUUAAGAGAAGCAAAACAAUAAUUAUAAUCUUUUCUACGUCUGUAUCUGAAUAUUUAUAAUAUACUGAUGUAAUAUUGAUAAAUGUAAAAAUAACAAAUAUGUUAAUUUUAAAA
This is a long non-coding RNA of Danaus plexippus (monarch butterfly), 840 nucleotides long. RefSeq lists it as uncharacterized. NCBI's taxonomy places the organism in Eukaryota, Metazoa, Arthropoda, Insecta, Lepidoptera, Nymphalidae. The record is from RefSeq and is a predicted model, not a curated record. The transcript is spliced from 2 exons.